Molecule: ribosomal RNA, 453 nt
Filed under: Triticum aestivum (bread wheat)
Lineage: Eukaryota; Viridiplantae; Streptophyta; Magnoliopsida; Poales; Poaceae
Description: partial small subunit ribosomal RNA
Source: RNAcentral
AUGGGAAGCAACAACCCCGGCGGCGCAGGCGGAGGGAUGGCUCCGGGCAUGGGAGCGGGCAGCAGCGACGGGCGGCACGAUGACGAGGCCGUACUCACUGAGUUCCUCUCCUCCCUCAUGGACUACAACCCCAUGAUUCCGGACGAGCUCGUGGAGCACUACCUCGGCCGCAGCGGCUUCCACUGCCCUGACCUACGCCUUACAAGGUUGGUUGCUAUAGCUACUCAAAAGUUCAUUUCAGACGUCGCAAGUGACUCCCUUCAGCAUUGCAAAGCCAGGGUUGCAGCACCUAUCAAAGACAACAAGAGCAAACAACCGAAGGAUAGACGUCUUGUAUUGACAAUGGAUGAUCUUUCAAAAGCCCUGCGUGAGCAUGGUGUUAACCUGAAACAUCCGGAGUAUUUUGCGGACAGCCCAUCAGCAGGGAUGGGCCCUUCAACAAGAGAGGAAUAG